GAUGAACGCUAGCGGCAGGCCUAAUACAUGCAAGUCGAACGGAUACCUUCGGGUAUUAGUGGCGUACGGGUGCGUAACGCGUAAACAAUCUACCUCAUACUGGGGGAUAGCCCUGGGAAACCGGGAGUAAGCCCGCAUGGUACCACCGGAUUUCAUGGUUUGGUGGUUAAAAGAUUUAUUGGUAUGAGAUGAGUUUGCGU
RNAcentral lists this ribosomal RNA (200 nucleotides) under uncultured bacterium. Its description in RNAcentral is "partial 16S ribosomal RNA". It matches the Rfam family "Bacterial small subunit ribosomal RNA", at positions 28 to 236 of the family's 1533-position model. The record is from RNAcentral.